UAAAGAGUUCUUUGUUGUUCAAAAUGUAUAUUUCCGUAACUCUUUGCAUUUUUUUUUUUGCUGCUAGAUAUAAAAACCUCACAAUACUGAUCAUGAUUUGCAGGGAAAUUCUUUGUAAGUGCAUCCAGUGAUCAAAGCAUCUCAAUGUUCAACUUAAAAAUGCUUAAAGUAGCAAUGAAACAACUGUUCAUUGUGAAACGAACAAAUAAUUUAUGGAACUUAGAAUCCAGUGUUUGGAAUGGAUUAUGGCUAAUAGGAUUCAAGGCUGUAGCUACACUUGAUUGUCAGGAGUUGCCUUACUUCAAGGGAGGAGUUUCUUUGGAGGAAUUGGUCUUUUCACUUGAGCACAAGAAGGUAAAGUUCAGAGAAUGUCUAAAAUAGUGUGAAAAGACUAUUGUAGAACCAAUUUAAGCUUCCAUGUUUGCUGUAUCUGUAGCAAACAGGAGUAUAUUUACUUGAACAGCUUUUCAGAAAAUUGCACAGUUUCUAGUCAGAAUGGAGAGGUGGGUUUGUUUCUUUUAAGUUUUUUGGCAGUAUGAUCUUUUUUUUUCUUUUCCCUGAGAGAAGGGGUCUCUUCAUUUAAAUGGAAGCUAUGCACUUGCAUAGUUUAUCACUUAAAACUUGCAUUUUGGGUAUGUUAUUGCUCAGAUGCUUGAAAGUCAUCCUUGCAUCUACCAGCCUACCCCAAGUCUGUUUCUUACUCUGACUGUAUUUUGCUAUAAUAAUCCUGUAAUUUUUUUAAAGAACAUAAAUGUUGGAGAUGACUUCAUUGCUUUAUGUACACCAGACUAAUGGCUAAAGAUAUCAGUGUUUGUGGCAAUUAACUUUUAAUUAGGGUCCCUAAGUUUUACAGAGCAAAAUGGUAUAAACAAGAAUCAGAUGAACCCUCUUGGAGUGGAUCACUUGUUUUCAUCUUGGAAGAAAUUCUGUAUUGAACUUUGUUAGUUUAUUCCCUCGCAGUGGGAAAAGCCUGCUGUAUUGUAAGGGCAAUACAGGACAGAUGAACUCACAAGCUACCUAUGAUGUGUCAUUUUAACCUACCGUUGGAAAACAAGGACACUGAAGAUGAACUGCAAAAACAGGCAGGAGUGGCUCUGGUACUUAGAUCUCAGCAAGACAACUCUACCACUGCAAAUGUAUUCUAUUUUUCUAGUUGAGGACUUUUUUUAAACUUAUUUCUGUAUUUGACACAUUAGUGUUCGGCCAACAUUGUUACCAUCCAUUUUACUUUGCUUUCAUUAUUGUUUUAAUUUAAUAUAUUUGAGUCUAAGUCCACAUAGAUUGUUUUGCAAUAACUAGAAUGAUUCACUUUUAUUUAGAUUUAAUUUCUUAACAGAAUUUAAUCAAAGAUGCAAAAUGGCUAUUAAGUAAGGGACCAUUAAAUGUGAUUUUAAGCUUCUGUUUACUAUUAUGGAUGUAAUCCUUACAGUAAAUUUAAUUUUGUAAAGUAGUGUAUAAUAUUGUAAUAUUAAAUCUUUGCUUUCUGAACUAGGACAUUUGAUCUUCAGUAUGAAGUUAUAAAUCUUCCCCAUUUUGAAUUUGAGACAGG
RNAcentral lists this long non-coding RNA (1549 nucleotides) under Anas platyrhynchos (mallard). Its description in RNAcentral is "lncRNA (ENSAPLG00020017565.1)". The record is from RNAcentral. Lineage: Eukaryota; Metazoa; Chordata; Aves; Anseriformes; Anatidae.